GUUUGAGGAGUAUCACAAAAUAUGUUACCCUGAUUAACUCCUGCUCUAAGUGAGCUUUGUUUAGGAUGCCAUUUAUUUUUAUUUUUGUAAUUGUCCUCUGUGGUCAAUGAUUGGAAGCAAGGGAUUGUUUGUUUAUGUCACUUUUGGCAAAAGAAAUUUUAAUGUGUUGGGAAUGUGACAUAGUAAUGGAAUGCAUAAAGAGUGGUUAGCUAUGAAUUUGGGGCCUGAAAUUGAAGGGAAAGUAACUUUAGUAUACUGAUUUUUUUUUUAUAAAAGAACUGCAGUGUCCAAUUCAUCAAAAAUCUAAACUUGUUAUUAAUAUUUUAAAAAUCAUCCAAAGAAAUAAAGUGUACUUUAUCAUAGUAGAAUGCAUUUACUCAUUUUGCAAUAGACAGAACAAGAAAACAACUGUUCACCUUUGAAUAAUUGUCUUUUGGGGACUAUAUAAAAGUAUACAUAAAAAUAAUAUAUCUCAAUAAAAAUAAAAUAAAAUAAAUUGUUGUUCCAUGGAUGAGUCUUUUGAACAUUGUACCCAAAAAUAGCUCAAAUUUACAAACAAGACCAACAAGUGACACCAUGUGAAAUAACCAUGUUUUUUUAUCAUCCACCUUCAAAAAAUUUGAUAUACAAAUACCAGCAAUCAAUGUGAAACUAUCUCUGCACAAUGCAAAAUCUUGUGCUAAUUUGAAGGUCACUAGAGAAUUGUAUCACAACUUCAACAUUCUAGUUUAAGUUGAUCAAAAGGAUGCAGUUGCAGUAUUAUUUCAUCUAUAUUAAAGUGGUUUAAACAACAACAAAGACUUGUGUGUAUAAAGAACCUUUUUUCAUCCUGCAACUUCAGAUGGACCUUUUAUAUUGUUUUUUAUUUUAUUUUUUAAAACAAUUAUAAAAUGUAAAUCAAGACUAAAUGAUUUCUCUACUUAUUGUUUUUGCACCACAAACUGAUUCUGACCUUGUAACCAUGUGUUGAGAAUUUGUCCUCAUACAUCAUCUUGUUCUGAAUUCUAUUAAAUUAAGGGGAAAUUGAUGUCUAUUAAACAGCUUUUUGCUAUUCAGCAUCUGUAGGUUCAAUUGUGCACAAAUAUUUUAAAGUGGAGUUAGGUGUGCAAGGGAUGACAUUCAUAGCUUCAAAAUCCUUGUUUGUACCCACCUCUGACACAUGUUUGAUAAAUAAACCCCUUGUGUAUAUGUCAUUUGAAUAGCUGGUGAGAGUUGGUGAGAGUAUAUGGGGAAGUUUAUAUUUACACUUGGAAGGUAAAGUGUAUAAGAUUUUGCAAUUGUUGGAAUAAUGUGUGCAAAUUUUAUUUAAAAAAUAUAUAAAAGUAAAAAAAUAAAAAAUAAUAAUUUCAAGUAUAUUUUCAAGAUAUUAGUUUUAGUUUAAAAUCAUCUUUUAAGUGAGUUAAAGAAAAUAUAUACGUAUUUUUUUUUGGAUAUGAAGUUCAAAAUGUGAAACAAAGUGGCAUAAAUUAAAACUCAUAUCUUUUAUCUACAAGGGAAAAUGUCAUUGUCCUUGAAUACAAAUUUGUGUGGAUGGGAUGUAAAUUAAAAAGGGCCAUCAUUCAAAAUGAAUUAGAAUCAAAAUAAAAUAUUUCAAUGGAUAGUGUAGAUUCUGGUUUAUUUCAUAAGGUCUAAUAUCUUUCACUAUUUCUAAAGUUUAUAAUUCCUCAAAGUAUAUGAAAUUUUGGAAACGUUUCUUUCCAUCAUAUAUAGUUUGUGAAGUACAUCAAUUUAUGCAUAGAAUCGUUUAAUCUGUAAUAUGAAUUGGGGUAAAAAGCACGUCAAUUCUGUAAAUUUAUAAGAACUACAAUGAAAAUAUAAACCUAAGUUCAAAAUUGAUAUUAAAAAAAUCACAUUGGAAAUGCUUAUGUUUUGGAAGACUGUAAUCAAAAAAUAAAAUAAAUGACAAUAAAACUCUCCAAAGGAAGGCAUUAUUUAACUGGAUUUUUAAAAUUCAGUUAAAUAAUGCCUUCUUUUGGAGAAGUUUAAAAUUCAGUUAAAUCCAGUUAAAUAAUGCCUUCCUUUGGAAAAUUUGUAUGAAUUUUAUAUAUAUCUGUUGGAUUUGCAAGUCAUUUGAUACGCCACGUGGCAAAUGGAAUUCAAUCUUAAAAUUUUUUUGGAUCUAAAAAUUAUACCAAGACUUGAAUAAUUUUUUUUGCAAGAUGUAUAAUAUUUGAGAGGUUUCUAAAUAAACUUCUUGCAAGUUAAUAUAUAAAUACAAUUAAGGUUGAGACCAACUUCAAUCUUGUUAGUACUUCUUUUACAUUAUGGAUUUGCAUCAAUUAAUAAUCUUAACAAUUGCUUCAGUUUUCAACACAAAUCUAGGUAUUAUUUUACAUUGUAUCAUAAUGUAAUUUGCAACAUAUUUUAGCUUUAAUUUGGGAUCAAGCAAUUUCACUCAAAAGUUUAUAAAAUAAGAAGGUGCUUUAUUUUGUAAUUAUUAACAAGAUUGUUUGAUACACAAUUUUUUUUCCAUAUAUAUUCACAAUAAAAUUAAUUUUUAAAUUUUUAGUAAUAUAAAAAAUUACUAGAAUAAAAAAAUUAUGUAUAUAUAUAUUCAUAAAAAUUCAAGUUAUAGAGUUCUUAGAAAAUCCUUCUAAAAUUCAGAUUAGUUUUUUAGUAUAAACACUAAAAUCACAUCUUAAACUUAAUUCCAAAAAAAACAUGAUGAAUGUAUAUACAUUAUAUAUAUAUAACACUAUUGUUUAUGUACUGUAAUUGAGUCGUAUAUGGUAGAUUAUCAAGGUGCUAAAAUGAUUUGAUUGCUAAUCAAUAAAUAUUUAAUAUAUAUUUAAAAAAAAAAAAAAAAAAAAAAAAAAAAAACCUAGGUAGACACCCUUCUUUAAUUGCGUAGACAUUUCUUUGUCUGCUUCUCAUAAUUUAAUAAGAAAUAAUAUUAAUAAUAAUAAAGUUUUUUACACUUCUAAUCAUUUGUGCAUGUUGGUUGCAUAAUUUUAAAUUUUAUAUUCUUUGACAUAUAAAAUACAUCUGAAUUCCAAUGUGUGCUAUCUGUCAUUUAGACAUAAGAAUUAUAAAUUUGGAUUUAUUUUUAUUUUUGCUAGUAAAAAUAUCAUUAUCAAAAAAUAUUCAAAUAUAAAUGAUAUUAUUAUGUGUAUGCAAGGAGAUGUUUAUGCAGUUAAAAACCAAAUGUGUAUGCAAUAAAAGAGGGAUGUCAAUGCAAUAAAAGGGGGGGUGUUCAUGCAAUAAAAACGGAGUGUCCAUGUAGAAAUUCCAAAAAUAAAAUUAUACAUAAAAAUAGCAUUGACAAAGAAAUUAAAUCAAAAAACAAUUAUAACUUUUUUUUAUAAAAAACCCUAGAAACACAUGGUACAUGAGAAUUUUGUAAAAACUAGCUUGAUAUUUUACUAUGUAUAUCUAUAUGGAUUUUAUUUAGAAGUGUUAGUAUAUAGUAUUUUUUUAGUCUCUAACAUAAAUUUCGAAUUUAUCUUAAAUGCAAUGAGACAAUAUUUUUGAUUUGAGGUCUCUCUAAUGGACAGUAGUUGGGCAUCAAAAUUCUCAAAUUAUUGUGUUUACUUUGUUAAUUUUACCUUUCUCCUCUAAAUCUCUUCUUCAUCUACUUUCAUUUUUAUUUAUUUAUUUAUUUUUUAUAAUUUUCCUGCUGUUAGUAUUAAGAGAAUCAUGGCUGUAAGAUUAAGUUUAAAUGAGUAAAUGCUACAAUACCAUUUUUCUGUAUUUUGUCCUCUUUUAUUAAAAUGUUUUCAUUUGAUGACACUAACAGUAUCAAUAGCAUCUGGAAGUCUAAAAUUAAUCUAGAAACCUAAAACCAAUUGAUCAGUCUAGUUUUUAUCACUAAAUGCAGUCAAAGAAAUCAAAAUUAUGCAUGUGUGUGUGUAUGUAUGUAUGUAUAUAGCUCCUCAUUAAAAAUAUCCUUCAAAAUUAUUUUAAAAUUUAAGAAAAAAUUGCGAAAAACAAGAAUUAUAUCAAACCAAAAGCUCAGGAAAUUUGAAAAUGAAGGCACAGUUCAAGAUCAACAACUAGUCAAUAAAAACAAAGAAUACAAAAUUAUAAAGUUGUUCCGUCAAAUUGUGAGGACUGAUGAAAAUAAAGGUAAAAACAAGGUGCAAGAAAUCAACAGAUUUCUGGUUUAUUUUUAACAGGUCAAACAAUGCCAUAAGGAAUCAUGUAUGGUGCUCUACAAUCUUAUUAAAUUAUACAAUGUCAUUUGUCAUGAAGAUGUUCUACAAAUGACUUUAGAAGUAAAAUGCAGUUAAACAAAAUAGGAUAAUUAAAUAUUUAUAAUCUUAGUAAUUCCCAAUUUACCAAAUGUAAAAUGUUUUUUUUUUUCUUCUAUUACUAUGAUUAAAAUAAAAUAAUAUAUAUAAUCCUGUCAAAAUUCUUGUAAAAUUCUGUGAAAAUUUAUGAUUAGAAAGUCAAUGAUUAGAAAACAUAUGAUUUACAUUUUUUUAAUAAAACAUCAAGGCUACAUAUAUUAUAAUUCCAAAUAAAUUAGAUUUUGGUAUAUAAGAACUCAUUUUGAAAAGCCAUAGUACAAUAGUCUUGUGUAAAGUUUCUUGCACAUAUAAUCACCAAGAGCCAAAAAUCAAAUGCCACAAUGGAGAACCACCACCAGCCCCCUAAAUUCAACAGUAAAAUGGAGAAUCUAUUUCCAUUGAUUACAGUGCCUCCAAAACUGUGGUCCAAAGGGGGAUGGGGUUGGCUCUGAUGUUGAACCCCCACACCACAACUGCAUGAAUACCCUUUGCCAUUUGGCAACCCUAAUGGAGACUUGUGAUGUGGCCUUAUCCAAAAUCCCCUGCAGAGCUUGACAAAUGCCAUCACUCCCCCACAUCAUCCCAUUGAAAAUGAUAUGCUGGGGCAAUGGUGAUAGGGUGGUAUGGGCUACUUUUAGUGACACUGGUUCCCAGUUGUUACAAUUUGCAUGGGGGCCGUUUCAAUUACUCUGAGCAUACGUGGAAGAGGAGGAGAAUCUCUUUAGAGCAGGACCUUGGGAAAUGGGAAUCAUGAAGGGUUUGACAAUUGGCUCCAAGAGAGAGGCUCCUCUGCAUGCAGCUAAUGGAGUUGGUGAACACACUUGUGUAGUGCAUUGAAGUAAAAAGUAACAAAUAAAUAGACUUUUGCAAAGGGAAUUUCAAAGAAUCUGCACACCUUAAAAUAUUAAAAUAAAAAAUACAAUAAAAUGAAAAGGGGUAUUUGUAAUCUGCCUGCCAAAUGAAGCUAACUCUUUGGUCCUGGUUUCCAUUCUGUCCUGACAAAUUGUCCACUCUGGCUUGACAUACAGGCUGUACAGACUAAGAGGAGAGACCCUUUGCACCUUUAGUUGCCCCUUGAAUAACAAACCUCACUUUGUGUCUUUUCAUCAUUUAUACUUAUUAUUAUUAUUAUUAUCAUCAUCAUUUUCUCCAUGUGUUUUUGGGUAGUGGGUAACUCAUUUGGGAACAGAUGUUUGCUAUGGAUACAACAUGCAAAUGCCUGUCAAGCUUAAGUACAUAGUUUUAUAAAUAGAAAUUAUGUGUGCAAUGUGGAAACACCCCUUCUGUACAUGGAAUAUUUUCUAACCCUGGGCCAGGCAAAUAUGCUCCAUUAGCAUACCAUCUCCGCAGAUCUUUGGGCUUUUUGACAAAAUCAUCCCUGCUGCCAGUGCUUAUUUAUUAUUCCUUUGGAGAAUAACUGCUGUUUAUUUCCAGCUAGAAUCCCUUAUAUAUUUUGAAGGCUGCAUCUAUCAAAAUUGAAGAAACUCUGAAGACCCAUGCUUUAGUGAUGACCCACCUCCUGUAAACAACCUCCAGUACGAGUAAGACAUCUGCUUUCCCAUGUCCACACACACAUAUGAGCAAUGACAAUAGCCAGACAGUAUAUUACUAAAUUUUCAUUUCAGAAAACAAAAAAAAAACAAAACAAAACAAAACAAAAGAGGAAUCUCAGAGUUUUUCCAUCUACAGUCACCAUCAUCUCAAGCUUCUCCCAAUGGACUCUCUGCCAUGCAUGCAACUGUCCACCAAAGAGCCCACUCCCCUUCUGCUUCCAUUCCAAUAUGGGUUGCCAUCACUUACACAAGCCACAACAAACAAACUAUCAACAAACAACCACAGCUAAACAAUGUCAACCCAUGAAAAUGAUUUACCAAUCACAGUCAAACCUGAUCCUCUCACAUCUUGUGGAGAUAGUGUGGCUACAUUCUCCCAGUUUGACCCUGGACCACCACCAUGGUUUAGUCCCCCCCCCAAAUUAGGGUUUGAACAAUCAAUUGGAUGUGAAGCAUUGGCACACAGUCAAGGUAGACUCAGGAAAUCAAGCAGACUUUUAUGCAAAGAGGGUAGAGGGCUACAAUUAAACAAAAGAGCCACUUGCCAAUAGUGGGAGGGAUGGAGCAAUGAUGGAGGGCCACAAUAUGAUGGGAUUCCAUAUGGAGCCUGGCACAUGCUGUGGGGCCAGCCCCCCUCCCCUCCCUUGUUGCACCCCCCCCCCAGACAUGAGCUUCAUGUGGGGUGUGCCUUUCUACUUCUUCUAUUUUUCUGUUUAUUCAUAUGGGCCCUCCCCUCCCCUGUUCCCCAUGAUUUUGCAAACUAGGGCUUCUGUAGCUCACUUUGAGUAUGGGUUGUGAAUGACUGAGGCUAUUGGACAAGUGCUUCUGGGGUUUGUAACUGUCCCCAGAACUGGCCUGGCUCAAGUGAAGCUAAUAGCAAAUGAAUAAGGAUGUUGCAACAAAUAUAUUGGCCCUGGGCUAUGCAAGUUUCCAAAAGGAAACCCUAGUAGACAGUGUAGAUGGAGAAAGGGAGAGUGUGAGAGAGAGGCAUACACACACAGCAACAGAGAAGUAGACAAUAACCCCAUUUAUGGCAAUUGGUGCUUUUACUGCAUGAUAAUUGGUCUUCAGCAUUGGGAGACUCAUGUCCCAAGGUUUUGCAUUAUAACAAGAUGGCUGCAAAUAGCAUGCUACUUUUGGAAGGAAAAUGAUAUAUCAUGUAAAAGAAAACCACAACCCCUAUGUGUUUGUGGGUGAAAACUACUGACUUGAAGCUUUGAAAUUAGAAGUGAGGGCAUGGAUACAUGAUAAUGUUGCACAUUAGUGUUUGUUCUCCCAAUGAUAUCUUAAUCCCUUGAUGUUUGCACAAAAUGGAUCAUACUAUGUGGUUAAUAUAUCAAAAAGCUUAUUGAUGAGGAGACAAGAAAUGUGUGAAUCCCAUCUUAGGCAGUACUUCAAGGCAGUAGUUCCUGUUUUAUUUUAUUUUAUUUUUUAUAUCUUUUUAAACUUUCAAUUAUAGUACCAUUACUAUUAUUCACAACUUGGCAGAUGUGAUCAAAAUCAGGGUUCUCAACAUUGCUCUUUAGCUAUCCAAGUGGAUUUUUGUUUUGAGGUUUGCAAUGCCAAUAUUAGGUGUGAUUCAUUCAAGACCACAUCCUUGUGCACUGCCAAAUGUGUUGUCAAUUCUAUAAACCUCAAAUUGAUAAUGCAAUAAGAUUCUGUGGUACAUGCCAGCCACUAUUUAUUCUCUUUAAAUGUGAAAAUAAGUAUAAAAAAAAUAAAUUCGCAUCAUUUCAUCUGCGCGGGACCAAAUUUCCAAAAGUAGACGGUGAACAAAAACUUUCGUGUUUUGAUUCCUUGUGUGAAUGGAGAGUUCCUUGCACUAUUUUAUUUUUAUUUUUAUUUUUUGGGUUUGAAUUUUUUGGAAAAUUACAAUAUACAAUUGAAUAUUAUUUUAUUGGCAACUUUGAAGGGUAGGAGAUAUGGACCUAAGAAAAGUGUCUAUACUUCUACAUAAUUGAAGUGGUUGUGCUUAAAGGACCUUGUCAAUCAAUUAUAAUUAUUGUUUUAUUUCUUUUCUUUUCUAUUAUAAAAAGUUUGUGGGUAUAGAAUCAUGUUGUUGUGUUCUUUCUCUCCAAUUCAAAUAAUCACAUCAGUAACAGAUUGGUCAAAGAACUUUCAUAUUCCUUCCUAAAUUAUUUUUUGUUGCAAAUUUGAUUUACGUACCUAACUUUGGUUGUUGUUCGAUGAAAUAAUAUCUAAAAUAAGGAAUAAAAUAAAGUAAUUUUAUUUAAUUAUUUAUUUGUAAAAAACAAACUAGAGUUUAGUCUAAAAUCUUUGUUGAUCAUAAAAUAAUAUUUCAUGUAACAAAUUCCUAAUCUGAAUUAUAGAUAUCUUUAGAUUUAGUAUCAUUGCUUGCUUUAGAAAAUAAAACAUGGUUUCUUAUUAAAAAAUAAAAAAAUAGUAAAGAUUUAUAUUAAAUUAUAGAAAAAUAUUUUUCUUGAAAAAAUAACCAUUUGGUGACUAGAAUAUUAACUCUUUGACAAUAGCUUUUUAAAUUUACAAAUUAUUUCUCAAAGAAAGAAACAUGUUAGAACAAUAGAUUUAGAAUUUUAUAUGCAAUGCAUAUUCAAUUUUAUAUGCAAUGCAUAUUCAAUUUUAUAUGCAAUGCAUAUUCAAUUUUAUAUGCAAUGCAUAUUCAAUUUUAUAUGCAAUGCAUAUUCAGUUUUUUAUGUAAAAAAAUUUACAUCUUAAUUUUUACUCUACAAUUAGUGUAGAAAAUAAAAUUAUGUAAUUUUUUUCAAUAUUUAUAUUAUUAGAAAAUUUUGCAAAAAUAUUUUUUUUUAUCUAAUUUUUUAUUUUCUUAUCAUUUUAUUAGAUUGUAGUUUAUUAUGACAUCUAAGUCCCUGCAUUCAUUUUUUUUCAUAGUCUUUACGAAAUUUAGAAAAAAAUCAAAAAAUUAGUUCAUUGAGUUAUUUUCAUUAAAUUCAUUUAUUAUUCUACUAACAUCAAGUGCUUUAUCCCUAAAUUUUAAAAUCUUAAAACUUUCUGCUAAGAGGAUUGUUUUUGAUAAACACGUCUUUAAUAAAUAUGUCUUAUAUAUUUUUUAUUUUUUAUUUAUCUUUAUUUCACUCUACUUAUUCUUUAAAAAUCACAUGAAUGAGUAAAAUGACAAGUUUUUUAAAACAUUAAUAAUACUUGUUUGAUGGUAGUUAGCAUAACUUAUGAAAUAUGAAUUUAAAAAACUUUCUAAUGCAUAAUAAUUCGGUAAUACAAAUUGAACAUGAAAUUUUUGUGUUUUAAGCUUUUAAAAUAAAUAUGUCUUUUUCACAUACAUAUAUAUAUAUAUAUAUAUAUGUAUAUUCAUUUAUGUAUUCUAACUCUUUACAAGAUGUAUUAUUUAAUAUAUUAUGAAAACCAAUUGGUAUCUUUUUUAAGAUUUAAAAAACAUAUUUGAGAUUUCUAUGUUCAUUUUUGAACAUUUAUUUCUAUUUAAAUGUAUAGUUCAUAUAUAAUAAAAUUCUUAAAAUUUUGAUUUUACUAUAAAUAUCAUAUACUAUAUUUUAAGAAUAUAUGAUAAAGAAAAUUUUAAAAAAUUGUACAAUUAUUAUGAUUCAAAAAAUUACGUUCAAAUAAAUAUUAAUGAUAUACUAAAGUAUAUGUAAAUAUUAUUGUGCAAUAAUUUAUUAAAAUGGUUUCUAUUUUUUUUCAAAACAAUGUGUUUUUUCAAGGUAUUAUACAUAUGUUUUACAUAAUACUGUAAAUUUUAUUCAAAUUUUUUUCGUAAAUUCCAAGAUAUUUUCCUUUAUAUAUAUAUAUAUAUAUAUAUAUAUGUCUGUGUGUGUUGUUAAAAAAGUAUCAAACAGCCCAUUAUUACAUUUAAUAAUAAAUUUAUUUUAUUAAUUAUUCAUAUAUAUAUUUUUUAAAAAUACAUAUUUAAAUUAAUUGAUUUAUGAUUAUUGCAUCGUCUUACUUGACAUUAAUUUUUAAUUUUCAAAACUACAAAAUAUAGAAAAUAUAUGAUAAUUUUCUAUUAUAAAAUUUAAAUCUAAUAUAUAGUUAAACUAAUAAAAUCAUGAUCUUCACAAAUAAACCAAAAUUAUAUAAGAAAAUGAUUCAAGUAUAAUAAUCACCAAAAUAGGUAAGUUUGUGAAAGUAAGUAAAAAUAAAUAGAUAUAUAGUAUUUUCUUCAAAAUAACAAUAGACCAGCUUGAUAGGCACCCAUUAGACUUUUAGUUUUUCUAGUUUUUCUUUGCUGAUUUAUAUGGCUAUAUAAGAAAUAUCUUAAAUAUUCUCUACUAAAAAAUUAUUAAAAAAACAUAUUACAAUUUAGACAUUUGACAUGUAAACCUAAUGGUUUUUAGGAAACUUGCACAUGAUUUUUCGAAUUAAUAUGUGUGAAAAUAAGAUUGAGAUUAUUUUUAAUUUUUUCAAUGUUUGCUUACAUUCUUGUCUUUUUUAAUGAAAUCUGUAUAAUUUAUGUUUGGAAAUAGCUACUAAAGUACAUCUCUUUUAUAUAAAUAUUUUUCUUCUUUGUCAUUUUGAAUCCUUCUUAGUUGUAUAUGAGUACACAACUACAACAUACAACUAGAUUUUAUGUUUUUCUCAUCCAAAUUGUACAUACUUCUGUCUUGUUGCUUUUAAAAUAAAAAGAAGUUGAAAUUAUAUUAAUAUCCCAAGUGUUAUUGAAUUGAUAUAAUUUCAUAUUUUAGAAGUUGAAUAAAUUUUUUAUUUUAGCUCAUAAUAAGUUUUUAAAUUUUAUAGAUGAUAAUGCUCAAACAUUCUAUUGAUAUUUGUUAUUUUUUAAAUCCUAAAUAUUAAUAUUUUAUUUAAUAUCAGUUUAUUGUUUUAAGACAAUUCUACAAGAAAAACUUCAGUGGGCGUGAUAUAGCUGUUAAAGAAAGCACUAACAGCAUUAGAUUUUGAUGUCCAAUUAAUUUAAUUUUUGGUUGUGAAUAUAUAAAAAUAUAAUUCAUUCUGAGCAUAAUACUUCUAAAUUGUUUUUCAUUUGGACCAUGGCGUUUUUAUAUUUGCAGAGCUAUCUUAAGUGUUUUGUUCAAAAUUCAUUUUAAGCAUUACAUUUUAGUAAUUUAAUUCAUUUUUAUUUUAAUAUAAAUAAAAAUUUAUAAUAUUUAAUCAUAGAAUAGGGAAACAAUUGAUUUGUGAUAUAAAAGAUAAAAAUACAAUCCACAUGUUUAGUGGUUCUAUCUUUCUUUUAGCUAUAUAUUAAUAUUACUUUUAACAUGUACAAUUUUUGUGUAAUGUAUUACAUACUUAAUCCUUUGUAUAUUGUGUCUUUAACUUUAAGAUCUUAAAAGACAAAAAGAAUGAAUGUAUAGAAGUUAGUAAACAUAAUAUGAUUAUGCAUAUAAUUUAUAUUUGUGAGCUUUAUUUCUUUUGUGCUAUAUAAAGCUAAGUAUAAAUUAAUUUUAUAAUUAAUAGAUGUUUAUGUUUUUUUGAUAGAAAAUCAUCAUUAAUAAAGAAGUUUUAUAAAAAAAUUAAUAAGAUAUAGGUCAUUUCAAUAAAAUAAUAAUAACAAUACUAUCAAAUGUGUUUUUCACCUAAUUGUUUUUAUUUGGUUUUAUUUUUAAAAAAAAAAAUUGAAUUUUUUUUAUUUGUCAUUUGGGUUUAUGUUUAAACAACAUUGAUUUAUUUUUUUGUAGUUAUUUCUAAAAAGCACUUCAAUCUAAUUAGGAAAUCAAUCAAUCAAUCAAUCAAUGAGAUUGUUUACUCUCUAGUAAUUAUCAAAUAGUGGUGGAAAUUUAUCUGCUUGUAAUCUUAAAUUUAUCUGGCAAUCUUAAAUAAGUCUGGCAUAUUUUGGAAGGUUAACUAGUUUAGAGUUUUGUUUGUGUUUGUACUGUCAUUGUAACAAAAUGAUCAUCACAUAAAAUUUAUUUCUGAAAUUUAAAAUUUUAAUCAUAUGUAUUUAAUAAAAUAAAUCAUAUUAAAAUUUUAAUAUUUUUUUUAAAAAAAUAGUUUUAUAAUAAAGUUUUAUCUAUCUAAAGACCUUCCUAUGGUAAGUAUUCAACCUCAAAAGUUGUAAUAGUACUUUACUAUAAAUUACUUUGUAGCAAUUAUUUUUAUAAUUUAAAUUAUUUGAUUUUUUAAAAAGAUUCAUGCAAAUCCUUACAAAAGCUAAGAUUUUUGAUUGCCAUAUAGUCUAUUGCAUUAGUUAUUCUUCAUGUAUUUUACAACUAAGCUUAUAUACAUCUAUCCAAUAUGUGAAGGUAAGAAUUUGUCUAUCCCUAUGUUGUUAUUUGCAAAACCAACAUUAUCAACCUAAAUGGCAUUUCUCAUCCAAGUUCCUUAUAACACUAAUUUUUUGUUACUCUAAUUUAACUUUAUAUAAAAUACUUUGCAUACAAUCACAUUUUAAGCUAAAAAUAUAAGUGCUUUGGGGAAGUAAGAUUUGAAAUAAAUAAAUAAAAGUGUAUAAAAGUGAUACAUAGAGAUCUAAGAACAUUCAAACCCCAGUGGCGUCACAAGGCAUAACAUUGGUCUUACUUGUGAUCUUUUAAGAUCCACCUAUUUUUAUGCUAAAAUUAUGAAGUUAGAUGCCCCUUAUUGAAAUUGGUACUAUCUUUUGGAAGAAAAGGUAACCAAAAGACAUUGGUUCAACUUGUAUAAAAACAUGCUUUUUAUUUUUUCAAACAAGUUGGACUGUGAGUAUGUAAUAUUUACUCCAUAACUCAUUACAGCAAAUUUGUUGGAGUACCUUUACAAAUGCAUCACCUUGAGAUUUUUCUCGUAUUUGAAUCUUUGGAUCAUGAAAUCACCCAAAGAAAAGUAGUGCAACAACUCAGAAUUGCCUUUACAGAAUUACAUUUCCAAAUAUAUUUUUGUAUAAAGACAAGUAUGAUUAAAUAAAAAAAUCCAUUGUGUUUGUAAUUUCAAUAACAAUCACAGGUGCAUGCAUGUAAUUUUACAAUCUGCAAACUCUAUCUGUAUGUCACUGUUGAAAUACUCUACAUUUAUGUAGCCUGGUGCACUACAUCUCUUUUUUAUGGAACAAUUCUUCAUCCUCCAGGUUUUAGAUUUUGAGAAAUAUUCACCAAGCGCAUUUUCUUCCCAGUGUAGUUGUAAGAACCAACAAUUUCUCAAACAUUCAGAAAUAAGUUGGAUGGAGGUACCCAUUUUCAUAACAUGCCAAAGGUUCUCAUGAACAAGAACCUGAACAAUAAGAGCAAAAUUAACCAACAUAACAGAAUAGUUAGCGGGGCUCAUUGAGCAGACCAAACAACCAGCGGCAUUCUGCAAGCUCCACAAGCUCCACAGACACAAGCAGUUAUGUUUCUUCGUCCAGAGGAUGAACACAAAAAGGAACACACAACCACAAACCGUUGAUUCCAAAACCCUAAAUUCCCUGUGAGAGUCUAAAUUGUUGUGCAGAGAUGGGACGAGAAAAAUUGGCAUGGCACAUGAGAAUGAUACCUGGGUUGUUGUAUGGUGGGUGGGGAAAUGAACCACAUAAGAAAUGCUUGAGAAGAUGAGUGAGUGAGCAAGCUUGCUAGUGAGAAUAGAAUGCCCCACUGCAGGGCUGCCAUAGCUCAGGUCCCAUCAAACACAGUCUUAUCUUUGUUGGAACCAUUUCUCACCACUUGGCAUCAAAUUCACAACCCCUUGUUUUUAUUUUGAUUUUCUGAUCCCUCUGUUUGGACUUCUCUCUAUCUGGCACUUGUGGUGAUGAAUGGUUGUUUUCAUCCUUUCAUGUGUUUGGAGCAUCUUCCCAAACAUUUCUUCAGAUGUCACUGAUGGUUUCCAAAAAGAAAAAAGGAAUUUUUCUAAUUAACUGUUUUGAAAAAAAUGAAAAUAACGAUGCUCUUUGAUUUGCAGUGGAUCAGACUUUGUCUGUUCUUGAAAUGAACACCUCUCCUGGCAACAUUGAAAAUGCAGAUUACAAACCUGUGAAUGGGAUAGCAAUGCCCCCACUGUGGACAUCACUCACCUUGCAUUGUGGAAAAAUCACACCAUUUUGCUUUUUUAUUGGGAUUUUAUGAGGCAGUAAAAGUAGGAGCUGAGUUGCAGAGCAAUGGUGGCCGGGGGAUGUGAGGUUAAGGGCUUUCAAAGAGUUCAUCAUCUUAAUCUGAACAGGGAGUUAACAAAAUGCUGAGCACAACCCUGUUUUGAAAACUUAUUAAUUUUGUGGGGCAUUACAUUUUGGAUCCAUUGGCAACAAAAUCAUUGCAUGCACAUGUUGCUACAAAUACUAUGAGAGAUUUUCAUGGGGUAAAAAGGAAAGUAUUAAAUAAUUGAAUAGAUUAAUUAAUUUAGACUUCUCACUUUGAACCCUGUUUUCUAGCAUUCAUCAGUAGUAAGUAUUUUGUCAAAUAUGUGAAGCAGUUCUUGUCACCAUGAUUGUUACUUGUUUAUUAAAAUUUAAAACAACUUUUCAGGAAAAUCAAACCAGUAUAUCUGAAUCAAUGAUCUAAUUCUUAUUAAAUUGUGAUGAUUCUAGACUUACAUUAAUUUUUGCUAUGAUCUUUCAUGUAAUCUAAUAAAUACAAAUCAAUUUCAAAACAUGCAUUUCUUGAAUACUUGAAAUGUUACUUUCUUUUAGGAAAUGAUAAAAAAGCAUCAUAAAUUCAUGUGGGCACUUUCACCCUAGUGGUUGUGGAGUAGCUAGGUACUUACAUGGUUGACAACAAUUGUACUUGCAAGGAUGUUUUGAUUCCACUGAUCAUGACCAACUGUGAAUGGUAUGAAAGUUUGGGAUCUGUAUAAUGUUAUUAAUAAUUCUAUUAGAGAAUGGACUAUAAAAUUAUUGGUGAGUUAGGAUGUAAUUUAGUGGAUCAGACUAUUACAGUCACAACAACAACAUCAAUGUUCUUCUGCAGCAUCUACUCUGCCCUCCUCAAAUUCUGUGGACUGUCAUGUUACAGUGUCUGUUGAAAUGUAUAAGGAAUCUUCUUGUGUUGGAAUUGAUAACAGCAGUCAAAAUUGGUAUGAAUCCAAAGAACAGGGAGCAUCUCUUCUUCAAUGCAUCACUAGAUGUCUAAGUGGAACUUCACACAACCUUUCAUGGGUUGUAACCAUCAUCCAUAUUUGUAUAAAAUUUGGAAAGACUAGGGUUGUAUAUAAACCUAUGCAUAUAUAUAUAUAUAUAUAUAUAUUCAUUCUGGGUAAAAUGGUUUUUGUUGUAAUGACAGCAAAAACAACUUGGAAUGAUAUUUUUGUAUGAGCAAUUCCAAUUACCCAAUGUGAAAAAUUGUGGAUUAUUAUCUGUGGUGGGGAGAUAGUGAGAUGAGAUUUUGAUUUGAACCAUUUGUAUAGCACAUACUCCAAUAGAAUAAUGUUGUUUCAAUUAGAAUAGAUUGAGAAGUGUUUUUUCAAGCAGACUUGAAAGUGUAAAAUACAACCAGAAAGCUGAUUCCCCAGCAAGCAGGACAUUAAACUUACCAUGCCUUAGAUAGCUUUUAAAAGUUUGUAAAAAAUAAGAAAAAUAAAAAAAACUAUUUGUAAUAACAAUUUGUGAAGGUAAGUUUUGAAGGGAUUAUUAUUAUUAUUAUUAUUAUCAUCAUCAUCAUGGUAGAAAAACAACUCAAAUUUUGAUUUAUUAAUGAGGAUGACCACAGACCACAGUACAUGUCCACUUUGACAGGUCCAAUAACCCACAGAUAUUAGGGUGCCACCCUGGCAACAGCUUUGUGCCCCCCAAGAAAGAGCCACUGCAGGGCUACGACAAUUUUAAUACAAACAACAAAAUUCCAAUAUCUUAGCCUUUCUCUUCUCCCUCCCACCCACAAGCCAAGCAUGGCCACUAAAGCUUUGGCUUUCCAGCUCAACUAAAUGACUCUCCUCUCUCUCUCUCUCUCUCUCUCUCUCUCUCCUUUUCUCAUGUUUUGGCUCUUCUUGUCCAUGCUAAUUUGUAUUCUCCUUUUUGGUUUGAUAAAGGUUCUGUCCUAUGAAGGUAUUGAAAUAUCCAAAGUUUUGAUAGCUGGACUCACACACAAGCUCUACCAAUUCAAUCCUCACAAAUACCCUCUUUACAGGUGCUUAGAUUGGGGGCAUCUUCUAGUGAUGCUCAAGGAUGCUUCAUAAACAAGGCAUUGAAAGAGGUAAAUGGAGGGGAGAAUGUACACUUUGGAAAAAAUCCCUUGAUGAAAGAAAGCACUUUCUUUUAAUGUGGAAAGUUGGAAAAAGAGGGUACUUUCCUUGAGGGGAAUGAGGAAUAAAACACUUCCCGAAGAAAUUUAAUAUUUUACCUUUCUCGAGGAAGGGAUUUUUGGAGUCAUGUUGUUUGUCAAUCAUCUUUAACAAUGAUCUUACACAGGUUUUGUAUGUGCAUGUAUUUAUACAUCAUGAUAGUUUUUAGGUUAACACAAAUGAACAAAGAUGCUUAUUAGAGCUGACAUGGUCUGAAAUGAUUCUUAUUUUAUUUUUAAAACAAAUAGAAGAAAGUUCUUCGGUAGCAUGUUUGUUUGUUAUGUUUUAUCCUUUCAGUAAGAGUACAUUAAUAUUAAUAUCAGAGUAAAGUGAUAAUACAAUGCAUGGUUUGAAAUAUUAUCCAUUUAUGAAAUAUAUCUAAAAUUGUUCAAGAAUUGAGAUUGGACCAGCAUUAAACAAGUGUAUCCAAUUUGUUUUGUCAAAUUUUUUUUUUGGGAAAUCAGAACUGGCGAGGUAAUUUGUAUGUGUGUUUUCCUCAUAAACAUAUUACUGGAUUAUAGUGUAAUGUGUGCAGAUCAAUGAUUCAUUCAGAAAUUUGUCAAGAGAAAUGCCAUAAGCAGUAGUAGUUGAUUCCACUCAUCAAACCCACUUCAACCUUGUGUUUGGUCAAUUACUGUAUUCUGUUGAAUCACAACAUCUACCUCUACUAUGUUCUUUAGGAUUAGCAUAGUUUUUAUUUUUUAAAAAAAAAUUAUAAUAUUUGAACAACUUUUGAGUUCAACAAGAAAGCAUGCAAUGUAUAACUUUUGAAAAGAAAGACAACAAGACAUUAUGUGUCUGUAUUCAAACGUUUUUAGAUAGUUGAUCACACAACCUAAUCUAAAAACUAAAAAUAAAAUGGAUAAAAAUUUGUUAGUAAAAUCUUGAUAUUUGAAUUCAAUGCCGUAUAUCAAAUUAAUACUUCUUACUCCAAGUAAAAAAAGUAUUCAAUUAAAUACAUAGUUGUUCUUUCAAAACUAAUAUUCAUGUUCAUAACAUAUACAUACACACACACACACAUAUAUAUAUAUAUAUAUAAGUGCUGAAAAAUCGCCCACAACCCUACAAACAAAUUCAAGACAUUUUACAGAUUCUUAAUAUUACAAUCAUGCACACUUCAACUAUAUAUAUAGUUCAUAUUUUCUUCAUACAAUAAUAACAUAAUAAUUAGCUUUAAUUACAAAUUUUGAAUACACAUGGAAAUGGAUUUACAUAAAAUGGGUUCAUUGCAUUUUUUUUUUUUUUUUUUUUUUUUGUUUAAAUCCUACAAAUUAGAUUAUUGACUCAUUUGUUCAGUCAUAUACGUAAUUCACCAAAUUUACUAUUCCAGAUAUUUUUGCAAUGUUUUAAUGGUCUUUUUCUUUCAUUUUUUAAACCUUAAUUUCUGAGGGGAAAAAAAUAUACCUCACACAACACUAGUGCCCAUGCUUUUUUCUUUUUCUUUUUAAAAAAUGACACAUAUCUGGUAAAAUCUAAAAGUAUGAAAUUUUGUUAAACUUUUUUACAAUUUUGACUGCUUGUCAAUCUUGAAACAUGCAAUUCCAAGCCAAAGUUGUCAUCCUUCAAGGAUCUGAAACAGUUAUUUUCUCGAAUCGAAACACAUACUUUACUGAGUUCACUUUGAUUGAAAAAAAAUCAAAAUUUAAUAUUUGAUGCUUUUAAUUUUUAUUCAAGAUUAAACGGUUCGGUUUUUUUUUUUUUUUUUUUUUUUUUUUUUUCAUUCAUUUAAAAAAUAUCUCCUAAUUUUUUAAAUGAUAAACUCUACAACCAAAUCGGUUAUGUUGAAAAGAAUAUCAGUUACAAGGUUUUGCUAUGCUACAAUAGCUUCAUGUUGCAAACUUAUGUAUAUGUCUUUAAGCUUAGUAUUUUAUGUAUCUAAAGUAUGUGAAAGAUUUAUUUAUUCUUGUUUAUUUUAAAUUUUCAUACCAUUCUUCUGUUAAUGAAAUUAAAAAUUGACUAUUAAGUAUCGUUCAACCUUUUUCGAUGGAAGCAAAUUCAAAGAAAAUAAAGUAUGAACUCUAAGUACUGAUUCAGCACACAUAUUCUUAAAAAAACCCAUUAUCCAUUUUCUGUUUUGAAAAGAGAACAUCAAAACCAAUUAUUAUCCAAUAAUCUUUGUAUUUACAACACAUGAUAUAGUAGAAAGAUAAACUCUCUAUCCAAAAAAAAAAAAAAAAAAAAAAAAAAAAAUCAGUCUCAGCCAAUAGAUUACAAUUUACCUUUAAUCAAGUCCAUUACAUACCAUAUUGAAUGAUGUAAGAACAUGUGCAUCAAUUUAAUGAUAACUUUGAAAAAAAAAAUACAUCUUACUCAAAAGCAAGCAACAUUCAUUGUAAUAACAUAAUAAAAUACAAAAAAAAAAAAAAAAAAAAAAAACCUCACAAUUAGCCUUGAAUUAAAAAACUGGACAAUGUGUCUUUUACAAAUUGGUUCCACUUUUUCAACCACAUAAUUUAUACAUCUCAUGUACAAAAUUACUCUAUGUAAUAGUCAUUUGCACUUAAAAACAAAGUCAUUUAGACAAUCCUGAGUGCACAUGCAAUGAAUGAGAAAAUCAACCUUAAAAAUGAUACAACACACAAUGCUAAGAUACAUCAUAUUCCCAUCAUGUAUGUGACAAGGACAUAUUAAUUUAUUUUUACUUCAAAGACAUGCUCAUAAAAAACAAAAAUAGAAAAACACAACCUCCCCAUUACAUUUGACAAACAUCGUUGGAUUAGAAAUACAAACCUUGUGGGAAAUGACAACAGAAGCAUCAUGUACUAGCUCUACAGUAAUGUCAUUAUUCUUGCCUUCUUGCCAUAUUGAGCCCCUACUUGAGAGCUCAAUUUAUGAAUGAAGUUUGAAUGAACCCAUCAUUGAUCAAUCACCAAUUCCUUUUUUUUUUUUGCAUAGGUAGUCAAAAAUCACCUCUUGGGAUUCCCAAUCUGAGUCUGAGAAAACCUUUGAAAGAAAUCCCCAAAAAACAUGUUCAACAUUUUAUCUUAACAGAAAAAUGUGCAUGCAGACAGAGCAGUACCUCUGUGAAUUUAUACACAAGUGGGCCAUGGAAAGUGGUCAAGACCAAAGUAAUAAAAUUUAUAGACUCCAGGGGAUAUAGCACAUUGCUUGGCUUACCUCAGUGUGGAUUAUUGAUGGUUGAAUAUCACACUAAGUCAAAAAAAUAUCUCACAAUAAGUGAAAUAUUAAAAUGUUCUACAUUGUAGUAACAACACAACAAAAUUAGAUAUGAAGUGCACAAUUAACUCCCAAAUAUCAACAAUUGAACCAUAAGUUUGUAUAAUACAACAAUCACACAAACACAAACAAGGAUUGCUUGUCAACAUGAUACUUGACACAUAACGCAAAUCAAAGAGAUUUUAAUGAACCCAUGAUAAAAACUAUGUUUAAAAAAACUUGUUGACGAAUUUUGCUGUACCCAAGUUGCUACAUGAUCAAUAACUAUGCAAAGAUAUAAAUACAUUUUAAUUGACCAUAUGUAAAUCAUGUACAAAAUGAAAACCUCAUAAAAUAAAGACGCAUUCAUGUAAAUGAAAACACAUAUUCUACUUCAAAUGAUCCCCUUCUACUUUGUGAAAAUGUCCAGGGGAAAAAACAAACAAAGAAACUGCUUUCACAGUUUCCAUAAUAACAGCUCAUAACCAGUGAAGGUCAACAAUAAAAACUAUUCUGCCAAGGCCCUCUAAAACAAUAAAACAAAACAUCUAGAACUACCAAAAACAACUACAAUUAAUCACAAUCCAAAAAAGGUUCCAGUCCAUCAUCCACUGUAAAUAUGUGUUUCCAGGACAUGACGGUCCUGACUACAUGCAAACUAAAUUUCCUCACUAUCCGAAGUCAAAAUAUAAUCAAGGACGUUCUGGAAACCAAAUAUUCACAACAACUCUAAAAUUAUAAAACUCAAAGUACUGACGAGGACUACCAGGAAUAAAAACAAAGCUAUAGGAAAGAAGACAUACAUCCAUUUAAAGUCAGAAGGCAAAAAUACGAAGUAACAAAGACAAAUCCAACAACAACAAAGUACGAAGCAUAAAAAAGCCAUUUCGAAGAUGCAGAAACAUAGAUGUCGCAAUCGCGGUGAACGAAACCGCCCGAUAGCACACCCGCUAAACGACGGUCUUCGGACGCCCCUCAUCGGACGCUGAUGGCAAAGGCCCCCACCUCCACGCGUGGGUUCCCCGCUGCUGACCUUUCCUUCGCUUCUAUGUUGUGGCGCCUGGGUUAAUCGGCGACCAGUGUGUGUGCAUCGGUUGAUGCGAAGUAGGAGCGUCACGGCCAUGCGAGUGAGUGCGGGGAGGAGGACGGUAGUGCCGCGGAGCAAGAAGAGCCUGAAGCCAGCCCUGCGUUGAACGUCAUCCUCGCGGGACCCGAGUCAAGGCUGCUGCUGCGUCGCAUUGAUUGUUGGGUGGGAGGGAGUGCGGUGCAUUUCCCCGAGCGUUUAAAGGUUAGGUCUGAUCGUCUAGGGGAGGAAGAAAGAAGAGGGGGAGGGAGAGGGGGUAGGAGAGCGAAAGUUCCGAGGUUGGAUAGUAGACUUGGGCGGGUGCGGGCGCGGGGCAGUGAGUAAGGGAGGGAGAUGAGCGUGAGGUGCCGAAGCGGAGGGAGGGAGGGAGUUUGAGUGGCGGUGGUGGCGGUGGUGGAGGGUCGCGAGCUGGAGGAUAGAAUGUUGGCAGUGUUGCAGAGGCAGCAGGAACGACAGUUCAUCGGAGGGGGAGUGGAGUCGGCGUUUAUGAGUGGUGGUGCGGGGGGGUUGUCAUCGCUGGAGGGCGGGGUGUCGUCGCAUGAGUCGAUGGUGGACUACGUGCCGAUGUCUCAGCACAUGCAGACGCAGCAUGCAAUGCGGCGGCUGAACUCGUUCUCGCCGUCGGUGUCGAAGGAGGGCGAGGGCGCGAUGAAUGGCGUGUCUCCGCAGGUGUUCCAGCGGAGCCAGAGCUUCGGGGGCGGGGGAGGAGGCGCGACCGUGCAUUCGCACGCGUUCAACAACCUGUUUUCGAGCCCGCCGAGCUCGCCCGUGUCGAAGGGCGAGUGUCUGGGGCUGUCGUUGCUGGAGGAGGAGUCGCUGAUGGAGGUGGGGGGCGGGAAAGCGAGUUUCUUCGAGGAGGUGGGGAAGGGAGGCGGACGGGCGGAGCUGCGGGGGCUGAGCUUGGCUCCGGGGUCGCCACUGGGCGGGGGCGGCUCGUCGAUGGGGUCGCCGACAUUUUCCGAUGCGCUGUUCAACAAGUUUCUACCGUCGAACAACGAGGACGAGGAGGCGUGGCCGGCGGUGGACAUGUACGGGUGCGAUCAGUUCCGGAUGUUCGAAUUCAAGGUGCGGCGAUGCAUGAGGGGGAGGAGCCACGACUGGACGGAGUGUCCGUUCGCACAUCCCGGGGAGAAGGCUCGGCGUCGCGACCCGCGGCGGUUCCACUACUCGGGCACGGCGUGUCCGGACUUCCGGAAGGGGAGCUGCCGACGGGGGGAUAUGUGCGAGUUCGCGCACGGGGUGUUCGAGUGCUGGCUGCAUCCGGCUCGGUACAGGACGCAGCCUUGCAAGGAUGGGCGGAACUGCCGUCGUCGGGUGUGCUUCUUCGCGCACACGCCGGAGCAGCUGCGGUUGCUGCCGGCGGCCGCACAGGCAGCGACGACGGCCGCUCGGAACGGAGGGUCGUACGACGGGUCGCCCCGAGCGAGUGUGGCGGCGAGCUACGACGGAGCGUUCGCGUACGAGGGGGUGUCUUACGACGGGGCAUCGGUGGGGCUCGUCGGAUCGGCUUUGAGCCACUUCUCGGGGUACUCGAGCUCGGGACACUCGGGGGCGGGGUGCGUGGCGUCGCAGAAUUCAUCACCUCGGUCGACGCUGGUCGGGCACGCCCAGUAUCCGGCGCCGCUGUCUCCUCCGCUGUCGCCUUCGGGGUCGCCUCCGCUGUCACCCGGUUCGCCAGAAGAAUGGGCGGGGAGCGGGGGCGCGUUUGCGAGCCUGUCGAUGUCUGGGAUGUCGGGAGCGCAGUCGGCGAUGUCUCUGCAGGCGAGCCUGCAGCAAGCCGCGCAGGUGCGGUCGCUGGGCGGGCACGCGCAGCCGUGCACGGUUCCGGCACAUCGGCGGCAUUUGGAUCGGUUGAACUCGAUGCCGACGCUGUCGAUACCGAGCGCGGGGGAGCAUCGGGGCGUGCACUCGGGCGGGCAUUUGGGGGUGCAUCCGGGGUCGGCCCCGUCGUCGCCGUCGGGGGUGGCGCAGAAGUCGAUGAUGGAGUUGAUCGCGACGCUGCAGCAGUUGGAGGUGCGGGGGGCGCCCCCGGGAUCGGCAGCGCAGUGGUUGCAGCAGCAGUACACGACGGGGCCGUCGCCGCUGCGGCGUUGCUCGCAGAGCGUGCCCGGGACGCCGACGAAGGUGUCGGCGCGGUGGGAGCAGAAGGAGCGGUGGGAGGUGGACGAGAACGACGAGGGGGAGCCGACAGUGCAGCGGGUGGAGAGCGGGCGGGAUCUGCGGGCGAAGAUAUACGGGCGGCUGGGGAGGAGUUCUUUGAAGGAUGCGGGGCCGGCGAUGGGAGAUUCGCCAGAUCUGGACUGGGUGAACGAUCUGGUGAAGGAGGAGCCGGAGCAGUCGGCGGCGUGGUGAGGGGAGAGGCGGGAGGAUGCGAUGCGAUGCUCCGCGCUUGGGUUAUGGUGGUGUUGCGUGCGGAGUGGUUUCUGCGGUGCGAAGGCGGAGGCGUGGAGGGUGUGGAAUGUGGGGCGCAGGGUUGGUGGAUAGGAGGGCGGGGUAGGGAGGGGGAUUAGAGUGGGAGGUGGUAUUUGAUGAAUAUUGGGUUGGGAGGGGACGGGUGCGAGUAUGUGAAUAGGCGGAGCGGGGAAGUGACAUGGGUAUGGCGUGGAGGGACUGAUGUUGCGCCUGUGUAAGAGCGGGGAGGGGUUGUGAUUGCAGCCGUGACAGCGGAGGAGGGUGGAGGACGUUGCUGGUCGCCCCUUUUGUCGGGGAGGAAUUGGCACAGGAGUUGAUUUGGGGGUUGGGGGGGGGGUAUAUUGUUGAUUACGGUAGGGGGAUGAGAAUGGGCCGGAAGGUGGUGGCAAUGGACCAUCGGAGGGCGAUGGAGAGCGAGGGGUGAUGAUAUUAUACAUAUUUGGGACUAUUGGUGUGCGCACCUGAGAGGAGCAGGCGGUGCGGAGGUAGGAGAUUGACGUAAUGAGAAAUUAUUAUUCUGCUCGGUUUUGGCCGCCCCAAAAGGAGCUGGGAGAAGACACGAGACGGGGCGAUACCCAUUUUUUUGGAUUUUUCACUCAAAUUGUGAUUGUAGGUAGGCAGGCUUUUGUUGAUUUACCAAAAGCAGGAUUGUAGUGGUAGAGACGGAGGAGCAUGCAUGUGGAUACUUUUGUGUACAUGCCAAGGGAGUUGAGAUUGUGACGUUAUGGAGCGUGGAGGUCUGGGAGGAAAGUAGACCUUAGUGACAGGAGAGUCUAGUCAUACGACGGAUCGACCUAUCUCAAUUCGGAAGGACAAUGCGCCGAUCUAUUUGCCUAGGAUUAAAAGUGUACAUUCAUUCAUGAUGUCAUGAUGGCGAUGGCUUUUGUAAUAUAUGUUUCUCUGCCCUGCACAUUGAUUUUUGCGGUACGGUGUGUAUGUGUGACGGCGUGUAUGGCGGGAGGGAGAGAGUGGCUCUGUGGGUGGUUGUGUGAUGGGUAGGGUUGGGCGCGUCGUGGCCGUGGAGCAGUCUUUGCAGUUUGGGUGCCCGCCGGGUGUGGAGGGUGGGAGGGAUUGCUUUUUUAUUUAGUGUAUGUUUGUGGAGUCGCGAUGGCGUGUGGUUGGAAUUGGGUUGGGGCGGGACGUGUUGUCUGAAGGACGCUGAUCUUGCGGGUAUCUGGGUUGGAGCGUGAUCGUGUGAGGUGGAAGGUGGUGCGGCGAGGGUUUGGGAUGUUGGUGUUGUGAAGCUGGGUGGAUGUGUUGGCGAGAGGGUAUGGGGUGGAGGAAUGGAGUAGGGGUUUGUUGACGUGGAUGUGACUGUGGUCGUUGCAGUGUACGCUGUGGUUGUGUCGAGUUUGUGAAAGGGGAGGAGGCAGAGUGUAUCUUCUUGGAGAUUCAGGGACAACGCUGCUUUCUUGCUUUCGAUUGAGUAGCGGUACCGUGGAUUUAUACUGUUGCUGGUUAGUUUUUCUUUUAAUAUGCAUUUAACCUUGUCUCGUGGGUUUUUUUUUUUUUUUUUUUUUUUUUUUUCCCUUUCUUUCUCGCUUUUUUUUGCAUCUGUUAAGGGAUUUUCGUUUAUUUAUUUAUUUUGUUUUGGUUUUAGGGUUGAAAGUAUGGUCAGCUUAUCUCUGUAGCUCAACUUUGAUUCGUUCUGUUUUAUUAUAUUUGGGUGAUGUGGAUGUUGUUGUGAUUGUAUGUUGACCGGUUCAAUUCCUCGGAUUAUAUUUUCCAUGAGUUGACGGUGAUUUUGGUUUUCGUUUGUCGUACAUCCCUUUAUUUGUAGAUUUGGUUCUAAGUUUUCUAGCUAGUUUCGUGAAGUGGAGCCUGUAGGUAUUUUGUGUAAUUUCCGGCGUCGUUGUGUAAUUUCCGGCGUCGUUGCGUUCUGAUUCCGGCACUGUCUCUUUUUUUUCGUUUUCAACGAUUGUACGAUGUGGUUGGUUGUGUAUCUCCAGUUUUUUUUUGAGGUUUAUUUAUUUAUUUGUUUUUCCAACUAUCUUUUGUUAUUGUUGUGUAUUCCGCUUUGCUGAAGCAAUUGUGGAGAAUGUUCUUCGAAAUGUUUUAUUUGGCGUCUGGAAUGCUUCCCCAGAGUUUGUCAGGCGGAUGUAGCUCUCAAGUUUGGCAUUGUAUAUUGACUUGUCGCUGUAAGUGUAGCCCUGAAUUCUCUAGAGUACGUAUUUUUAUACCAUCAGGUCACUGUGGUGUGGUUUGGCUGAAUUGAGGAUCCAAAACUGAUCUUGAUUUGUUAUGACGCGUUUGUCUGUUUCGAUCCACAGUCACUCACUGUAAACUGGGAUAUGGCAGUUCGAAUGGAAUGGUUAUCUCAUUCACCGAGAAUGGGCCGUCUACUGUGGUUGCUGGACUGGGAGUCAACAUCGACCACGUCUGGCAUCGCACUCGUGCUCAUUAGAUUGAGGAUUGGAGCAAAGUUAUGAGACCGAAGAUUGCGCGCAAUCUGACAGUCAUCAGUAUUUAUGACGAUCUAGACUUCAAUGGUAAGAUUCUGCAGUCAAUGAUUCCCCUCUGCUUAAAAGAUAACUGCGUGCUUUGUCACUUGACUAUCAGAAUUGCAGUGUAUGGUGUGGUUUUCAUUGUGCUUGAAAGAUUAUGCACUAAUUGGCAUCAACCUCCCAGGAGCUACAUCUCAACAGCUUACUUUGCAAUAUGCGGAUGAUACGUCAUUCUUUGUCCGUGCAAAAGAACAAGUGAAAACAUUGAUUGAUAUCCUCGACACCUUUGCCUUGGCCUCCGGACUAGUGAUUAAUUGGGCAAAAUCCAGUGAUUAUUGGGUGAGUAAACACGAUCCUCGACUUGCAUGGACGAAUGCAUACGAUUGGGUCUGGGUGUGGGAUGGGCACAUAGCUAAACUACUAGGCAUCUUAUUUGGGCUCUCCAUUAGUACACCUGAUAUUGACAAUUUAUUAAAAGGAAAGAUCUAGCAGAAACUCACAUUUUUGGUCUCAACAAAAUUGUCUUAAGCAGGACACAAACUCGUUGUAAAUCAAAUUCUACUAUCAACACGCUAGUACUUCGUGGGGGUAUGAACAUGCUCACGGAAGGUUAUUAAACAAAUCAAGGCUCUCCUCAGGAACUAUCUUUGGACUGGAAGAGAACAUCGUACAAGUGCAUGAGUGGCGUGGUUGACAUGAAUCCUCAAAAAGCAAGAGAAAGUAAGCAUCACUGACUCGGAAGAUGCAAUGGACUGUCUCCUAAACAAAUAGAUCUUGAAAGCUCUCGAACUGAAGAAGUGUAACCUGACUGCCCUCCUUUGGUACAAGCUUGCCACAUUUCAACCGAACAAAGGCGGGAGAUGGAGCAAUGAUCUAAACUUGGCGAUGCUUACAAGACACAUACACUCAAGCGGAUCUAUUAUAUGGGCCCAGAUUGGCAAAACAUGGAAGAAACUAGCAAAAGUAAUCCAGUAGCGUAAGCCACAUACACGCGCUGAAAUCACCAACAUCAGACUCUGGUUUAGUUCGAAAUUUGUGACAUCAAUACACCCUACAAUCACAAUGGUUCAAAGGGCCACAUGGUAUAAACGUGAGUGCAGACAAAUUAGAGAUUGCAGAGCAGAAGAUCAGACCCAAUACCUUGCCUCAGAAGCACGGAUUUGGUUUCACUCGAGUGAGGAUGAGCAGCCCUAGUGGAACAUCAUAAUAACAACCAUCCAAUAGGAGUUUGGGCUGCUUUUGAACAAUAUCCCACCCACCACCAAAGUAGGCGGCUAGCUUGGCCUAUAUAAAUGAGACUCCUUGCUGCAUCCAAUUCUAGUCACCCAAGCUAUCCCAAGUUUCUGCCCACCUUUAGGAAUGGAACAAUCCGUUGCCUAUUCCAAAUUCACCACCAAUACCUUUCGAGUUGGACCUGUGGAUCAGAUCCUACAUCCCACAUCCAACCUAUCCUCCUGGAUCCAAUACACUCCACACGCAUAUAACACAAGGGCCAGUGAUACCCCCAACCAAGGACAUGCUGAUCUGCAAGAUAGAGAAAAUUCGGGUUGUAUCGGUGUAAUACAGUUCCAAGAAAACGGUGAUCCGUUUCUUCUACGGCUCCUUCUCCAAACUCGAGUUCAAUCUUGAUAGACAUAGAUAGGAAGGCAACACACCAAUCUUCCAGUUCACCCCAUGAACCGCAAGAACAUGGGUAUCAAACUUGACCAACCCCAUAUCUCUCUGUACAACCAAAUAUAAAGGCCCUCCCUACAUUGAAACUUAAUUCAUGCCAAAAAAGAAAAAGAAAAAAAGAAAAAAAGAAAAAAGAUUAUGCAGUAAUGUUUGAAACAGAGGCCAACAAGUUCUUUUAAAUACAUUACCACCCAUGAGUUGGAUUUAUCUACUCUUGGAUUUGAGUGUAGUAUGCAAUUUGGAGAAAAGUAGUGUUAGAUUUAUUUCAAAACAAUGAUAUGUCUUUCUUUUUAUGUUUUUUGAAAUAAAAGGGAUUUCACUUUUUUAAUUAAAAAAAUUAGGUAAAUAAUAUAGUCUUAAAUAGGUCAUCAUUAUGACUAAAUUAGGCCUAUCUUAGGAGAUAGAGUGUAAUUUCACCUCAAUUAGAAUUUUGCAUCUUUUAGUCUUAUCAUAUUGUGUCUUAUAACUUUUUAAAGAAUUAAAAACUAUUUUAUAACUUCUUGUUUAUUGUAAUUAAUUUUUUCUUCCAAAAACUUAUAUUGCAGUUAAUUAGCUUAUGCUAGAAUAAAAAGAUUGUAAUAUCUUUUUUCUAAGAUUUUUCUUUAAUAAUCACAUAUUUUCUUUGUUUUGAUGUAGUAUAAUACUUAUAAUAUAUAUAGGAGAAUGAUAAAACAAUCCAAAUUUUUAUUAAAGCAAUUCACCUUCUUUGUUCUCAAUCCUGCUUCUUCUAUUUCCAAUUUUCAAUCUAAACACCAUUCCUAGCUUUCAUCACGGUGUCGUAUUGUGACACGACUAUAUGGUGAAAAUAUGACAAAAAAAAUGAUAUUUUAAUUAAUAUUCUAUUAUCAUGGUUCAACAAGCAUUCAAUAUAUUUUACAAGGCUUUUAUAAAAGCCUCUAAUCCUAUUUUCUUCACUUAAUAGCUAGUAGAUAAAAACUAGUUAGUAAUUUUACCUUCUAGGCUGUAGUAACUUUUUUAUUGCCUUAGAAAGGCCAUAAAAUGGUAAAGAAAGGAUAAAAAGGAUAAUUUAUUAGCAUGGUUGAUACUAGGGUUAAGUUGAGGGUAGGAUCGGGCUAUAAAACCACUAGGAUAGAUUAGAUUGAUAUCCGGGGGUCGGCCGGAUAUGAGACAGGGUCGAAAUCCGACCUCCAACCACUAAAACGGCAGCCUAGGGCAAAAUACGGGGGUUUUUUCAGAUCGGGUUUUUGGAUCGAAGAGCUAGCUUCAAGCUCUUUUCAAGGUCACUAGUUCGGUUUCAUUAGGAUUUGUGAGAGGAGAGCAAUCGCUGCUCAAAGUCAGUGUUUAUUUUGGUGUUUCGGAUUUUAUAUAAAACAUUGAUGGUUUGCAUUCUCAAUCGGUUUGUGCAAGUCGUGUAGCAUCUAUGGGUCAAAAUUUGGUAUUGUCUGGAUAGUUGGGUGUGCUAAGUGUAUACAAAAAUUUGUGUUAAUCUAACGAUGCAAUCAAGAGAUAUCUGGGUUUUAGUACAAAAGGGUUGUCGGAAGUUGGCAGUCUAGGGUUGGAUAGGGUUUCUGUGAUAUUUGAAGAUCUAUUGGUUGGAUCGACGUAAUUUUUGGCUUGGUAAUAGAAGAUUUGGAGAUCAAGCGGCUAUUCAAUUUUGAGCUGGAGUUAACGGUUGACAAAGGAGAAAUCACUUCUAGAGUUUCUACAUCAAAUUUCAAGGUUCCGCCGAGUGUCAUUAGUGCGGUUUUUGGGCGUUUUCUUGCAAUCUGUAAGUUGGAUUGGGCUGAAAUUUUCUGAGCAUAUAGAAGGCUUAUACUGGUAUUUGGGUGCAAAAUUUCACACUAAGUGGACGGUUGGAUCAAAAGUUACAGCUUGUCAAAGCUCACUUGCUAGAGUUAGGGCUUGUUAAGAAAAACAAAAACAACUUAAUUAUAAAAGAAAUAAAGCAAUUGGAAUAUUGUAUGGUUAAAAUGACUAUGAGGAGUGUUUUUAAAUACUUGGAAAUUGAUAUUUCAAUUAUAUUCUUCAUACAUGGAUAAAAUCUAUUAGGGUUUCUUUGUUAUUUGCAAAAACAACUAUACCUUCCACAACCAGAUAUCCAAUGUAUUGCCGAACAAGACAACACGUAAUACAACAGCGGUGAUGUGAGGAUCUGCAAGCAUGAUGUGGCAUUUGUUGGACAAUCGGAGGCUAUGAUGACAAUUGACAACUCCCUCUAUAAAUAGUAGUAAAGACAUUACUUGGCCAUAACUAUCGAUUUUUAUUUUUGUUGCCUCUUUUGAUUUCAAAUAAAAAAAAUCGAACUAAGUAUUUUCAAAGUUAUAUUUCUAUCAUAAUUUGACAAUUUUUGUAGCUACUAAAUAUGUAGAUGGCUAAAUUCUUGUUCUAUUAUGCAUUUAUAAUAGUUGGUCUAAAAAGUCUAGAGUUAAUUAAGUCUUUGAAUAAUGUACAUUGUCACAAUGUCUAAAACAUAGAAGACCUCACCAUAUUGAAACUCCAUACCAAUGAUAGUUUACAAAAGUUCUAAUAAUUCGAGUUCAAUCAAUAUGGACAAGGGCAACAAUAUUGAAGAGGCUCUCUCAAGACAAUCAAAUAGCCAACCAGAUUCUAUAUACUUUGAGCAUUUAAAUUAACAUAAAUACUUUUCUUUCACUAGGGAUCAUCACUAGAACAAACGGAGAGAAUUAGACAUGAUGGAAAGGAAAAAAAAUGUCAAAUAAAAGAAGUCACCUUCCAAAGUAACUUCAAACUUAAGGAUAUAAAUAAAUUUGACUUGUUUGUAAGAAUUAUUCACUCCAAAAGCUAUAGAAAGAGAUGUGAUGGGAAUUUUAGUUCUUAAACAUACCUAAUUAUAUAUCUUGUAAUAAUUCACUUUUACUCAAAGUAUGAGUGUAUGUAAGUGAGUAUGAAUGAGAGAAUGAAUGAAUGAAAGAGUGAAUAAGUGACAUUGCAAAGUAAUAGUCCUCACUUUACGUCUAUGCAAACAAACUCUUAUCAUAUUGCAUAAGUGAUAUUAUAUUAAACUAAAAUAGUUAUUUACAAAGGAAAUAAUACUAAAGACUCUUGAAACAAGACCAAAUACAAAAAAGACAUUGACAAGAGUGAAGAAGGAUUUAUUCUUGCCUGUAUAUACACUACCUAAUUAAGAGCUAUAGGAUGAUAUUCUAUAAGACCUUUCAUACAUGUCUAACUUGCAUAGCCUUGACCAUUAUAUAUGGUCAUAUAUAGUUCUUCAUUCUGCUUUGAGAAAGUCUUUGUCUUAAUCUUCAAUGCUUCAAGAGCAUUAAUAAUAGAAUCUAACUUGAUCUCUUUAGAGUCUGCCAUAUUGACUUUUCCACCUUCUGCCAUAGGAAAUGAAAGAAACACAUGCCUUCAAAAGAAAAAAAAACCUUAUCUAUGAUAUAAAAAAAAGAAACCAAAAGAAUAUUAAAAAAAGAACAAUAUUAGUCUAGAGGAGGGUAAUCUGCAACCUCUAGAAUGCUAUAGUACUUCCAAGAAGAGGAGUAAUCCACUCUCUGUCAAGAAAGACCAAAAUCCUAAUAUUAUUUUAUGGCAGUCUUGAGAAACUAUUAAAGACCAUAAAUAAGACAAGGAUUCAAGACCAAGAAAUAGAAUUAGUUUGACAUUAGAACAACAACUAGAUACAAGGUAAGAAGGUCUUGGCAAGACCACAAGAAGGGAGUUGUCAAGACUGAGGAUCCCCUCAACCUCGACUCCUAUACAUACUAGGUCUUUGGAAGCUUCUUGAGAAGUUUUUACGAGGCUUGAGAAUAAAGCAAGCCUAAGAUCCUUCUUUGGCAACUUCCUAAAUCAUCUAAAGCCUCCUAGAACCUUCUAGGAUCUCCUAUGACCUAGAGCCUUCUUAGAACCUAUUUGUACCUUCUAGAACCUUCUGGAACCUUCUUCAGUUGUAUGUCCGUGACAAUUAAGGUGGAUGAAUUCUUAUUUGUAGAUAUGAAAUCAUUCUUUGAUAAAAAUUCAUUUAUAGAUGAGAAUUUAUCUUAGAUGAACUUUUAACUUGGAUAAUUUAUUAUUAUUAGAUAAAAAAAUAUUAAAAUAAAAUAAAAUCAUAUAAAAAUUUUCUUUCAAAGAAUGUAAUUUGAAGUAUUUAUUAUUGCUUAUAUUGUUAUUAUGGAUGUCUUAAAAAAUUAUGGAUGAGUUAAAAAAUUAAAGAUCUUUCAUAAAAAAAUACAAAUGCAAUUUAAUUAAUAAAAUCAUAAAUGGCUAAUAGUUAUGAAUUAGUAUAAUUCACCUACUAGAAGACUUUAUCUAGCUCAAAAUUAAAGAGAUAUGGAACUAUUAGAUACAAAUUAAUUUCUACUUGAGAAUUGUUACAAUAUUUAGAAAAUUAAAUCAUUGUGAACUAGAUUAUACUUCAAACUAAUGGGAGUUUAUUUUAGUUCACAACAUGCAUGCAAUAUUUAACUUUUAUUUCAUGUUAUAGUAGCUAUCUCUAGGAUCUCUUAUAUAAGUAAAAUAUUAUAUUCUUAAAGUUCAAUCUUCUUCAAUUUAGUUGUUUUUAUUAAAAUGAUAGUAAUUCUUAUUGAAUAGAGGAUUUUUUUUUAUUCUAUUAAAGAUAGUUAAAUAUAAAAUAAAAUUUGUUUGAAUGUACAUAUUUGAGGUCUUUAGUCAAAAGAUGCUAUGCUUUGUAUAACCAUUUCUAGAUCUUUGAAUGUAAAGAAAAUUAAGAUGAUGUCUUGAUUGUCUAAUAUAGAUAUUAAAAACCAAUUGUUGAUGUUUUGAAAAGUUCAAAUGAAUUGGAAUAUAUAAAUAUAUAUAUAUAUAUAUAUAUAUAUAUAUAUUAUAAAAUUUUGAUAAAAUGAGGUUUUUGGCAUUAAUGACUUGAAAAUCUUAAGUAUUAUAAAGACAUUUUAGGUUGUAUCUAAAUCUAUCAAACUAGAAAUUCCAUGUUGUGUACAAGAAAUUAUUUGUUAUGUGAUUUUAGUAUAAGUGUUAGUAUCCUUAUUAAAUUCAAGUAAAGUCCUUAGUUAUUUAUUUAAUAGCUUUUAUAACUUGGAUUGAUUUAAUUUAUAUUUUAAUGAAGUGGAUGAUUGAAUGAUAUAACUAACAAUUAGUAUUUUUGUAACUAGAUUGAAUUAUAAAGAAUACUAAUACUUAAGUUUUAUUUAUACAUAUUUGAUAAGGAAGAUGUUGAUGGUUGAAGAAUCUAGAUUGACUCCAAAGAGAUAAAAGAAAAUUAAAAUUUUAUAAAAUAAUCUAAUUAAAUAUGAACUUAUCAGUCCAAGGUAGUUUGGAUACAUUAAUGUAACAUAGUGCCAUAGAUUAUAACCAAUUUAUGUAUAGCCUUAAAGAGGAAUGAAAAUAUUUUAUAAUCAUAAUAACUUUUUAUUAAUAGAUUCUAUUCUCUUUAAAAAAUAUUGUAGAAUUGUCAAUAUAUUGAAUGAUAAUUACUUGGUUGUUGUAGUGUGGUAAGAUAUAUAUAUAUAUAUAUAUAUAUAUAUAUAUGAGAUCGAAAAGCAUAAUUGUCUUGAGAUUGAAAUGAAGAAUAUUUCCUACUAUCAAAAAAGUUAAGAAGAUAAGAAACAACAUUGUUUAUACCUUCAGUAGUAAGAUAAUUUGAAGAUCUUCACCCAUUUGAUAAUAAUAUGAGCUUUAACAUAAAUAAAAAGAAUCUUGGUCAUUAUAAUAAAAGUUAUUCUAAAUCUUAAAAAUAUUAUUGAUUGUAUAUAAAAGUUUGAUUAAUAAAAUUGAUUGCUUUUACAAAAUUAAACUUCAAUAAUAUAAGGCAUCACUUGAGUGCUUUGACUUAAUGUAUGUCUUUAUGAACUAAAAUCAUAUUGAUGAACUAACAUUAUGUUGAUAAGGAUAUAUUUGAAAAGAGAUAAGACACUUUGAUUUAAGCUUAUAACUUUUAAAAGAACACAUUGAUUCCUCAAUUGUAGAAUACUUAAAAACAUUCUUAUUUAUAAAACUUAAGAGAGUUAUAGGUCAAUAAUUUCCUAUUGAUUUCUAAUUACUAUUUUUGAAUAUUAGAAAAUUUUAUUCUUUCAUUAUAAAUUGAAAAAAACACUCUUCUUUGCAAAGAUUUUAAAGAACUUAAUAUUUGAUCAAUAUAUAUUAGUUGUGAAGAGAUGCAAUGUAUAUGCCUCUUGCUAGGAGUGAGUUGUUAUUUGCUAUGUUUUACACUCUAAGAUUGUUUUUCUAGACGUCUUCUUUUGAUUCUUUCAUAAAAUUUUGUCUUGGCAAGAGAUUAGUAUAUAGAAGUCAUAAGCAAAGGAGACCUUGUAUUUUAUGAUACAUGAUUGAUUAUAUAAAAAAUAGUUGAGCUUUAAAUCUAAGGAGCUUAGAAUUCCAUCUACAUUUAUUAAAUUAUAAAAAGUUGUAAUAUUCCAGAAUUGUCUUACACUACAUUAAUCAAUUUAUAUUGUAAGCAAGAAGGUCUACAAAAUAUUAUUAGAAAUAGCUUGGAUCAACCAUUGUAUUUCAUAACAAAGUGCAAUAAAAAAUUAUAGCUAUAGUAGCUAUAGUUAAAAAAAAACUAUAUAGCCUCCCAACUUUUUAAAGAGUACUUUUAUGUCAACUUUUGCAAAAGAUUAAUAGGUAUUUCCUAAUAAAUUCUUAAUAUUUCCUAAUAAAUACUUAACUAAUAAUUAAGAAAGAAUACAUAUUUAAUAUUAUAUGGUACCAUUUUUAUAAAAAAAAACGUUUUUUUCUUCUUUAAGAUCAAAAUCAUACCCCAAGAUAAUAUAUAUAUAUAUAUAUAUAUAUAAUAAUACAAUAUAAUAAAGCAUCUCCUCUAAAUGGGAGGUUCUUGCAAUAAUCAAAGCAUGUGACAAUGUAGACAAUUUCAAGGACAAUUAUCCAAUAAACUCUUUGUAUUAAAAAAAAGGGGGGGAGGGGAUCUCUAUCCAACUCAACUAUAAAGACUGAAUGUCAAUGCUAUAAAAAACUUUUUUAAAACUUACAAAUUACACAAGACUUGUGAAGACAACUUACAAAACUUUAAAAUAUUUAAAUGCUGCAUUUAUAAGCUGAAGCUCAAUUAAGUUUAAUCCUUGGAAUUUAAGGUUUUCUUAGAAUUUGUUUAGAGAUUAAUUAAUACUGAGUAGGACUUCUUCACAAAUUGCAUGAAACUUUCUUAGAAUCUAAUUAAGAAAUUGUAGAGUUUCAAAAAAAUGUAGUUCUAAUUUUGUUGAAAUUUCUAGUGGUUUGCUUAAAUUUUAUUUAGAAUUUCUGAAUAAAUAUUUAAGAUUGGAUUUGAGUCUAAUACUUAAGAAUUUAAAAUACAAAACUGACAGGCUCUUGAAUUGCCUCAAAUUAGAAUGUCUCAACAAUUAGGAACUAUUAAGUAACCUACAUGUAAAGUGCAUAUUAAUUUGACUUGUAAGAAACAGAUGGACUUCAAGUCAUCAAACUCCACAAACCAAUACAUACUCCACGAUCCACCAACACAGCAGGCCAACCAACAACUCAAUGUUUUAAAUUUUCAAACAAUAUAAAAAGGCCAAAGCAAGAUCUUUUGAGAAUAAGCAAAUAAACAAACCAAACUAUCAAGGGGCAAAAAAAAAACAAAAAGAAUCAAUACGAAGUGCUAAACAAAUAUCUCCCGGAAAAAAAAAAAAAAAAAAAAAAAUGAGGCAAGUAUACCACAAUCAGCUUCAAAAGUGGAAAUAAAAACCACCGACCGGAAAAUUCAAAACCAAAAAAAAAACAAAGUUUACGCACGCCAAGAAACAGCGUUGUCCCUGAAUCUCCAAGAAGAUACACUCUGCCUCCUCCCCUUUCACAAACUCGACACAACCACAGCGUACACUGCAACGACCACAGUCACAUCCACGUCAACAAACCCCUACUCCAUUCCUCCACCCCAUACCCUCUCGCCAACACAUCCACCCAGCUUCACAACACCAACAUCCCAAACCCUCGCCGCACCACCUUCCACCUCACACGAUCACGCUCCAACCCAGAUACCCGCAAGAUCAGCGUCCUUCAGACAACACGUCCCGCCCCAACCCAAUUCCAACCACACGCCAUCGCGACUCCACAAACAUACACUAAAUAAAAAAGCAAUCCCUCCCACCCUCCACACCCGGCGGGCACCCAAACUGCAAAGACUGCUCCACGGCCACGACGCGCCCAACCCUACCCAUCACACAACCACCCACAGAGCCACUCUCUCCCUCCCGCCAUACACGCCGUCACACAUACACACCGUACCGCAAAAAUCAAUGUGCAGGGCAGAGAAACAUAUAUUACAAAAGCCAUCGCCAUCAUGACAUCAUGAAUGAAUGUACACUUUUAAUCCUAGGCAAAUAGAUCGGCGCAUUGUCCUUCCGAAUUGAGAUAGGUCGAUCCGUCGUAUGACUAGACUCUCCUGUCACUAAGGUCUACUUUCCUCCCAGACCUCCACGCUCCAUAACGUCACAAUCUCAACUCCCUUGGCAUGUACACAAAAGUAUCCACAUGCAUGCUCCUCCGUCUCUACCACUACAAUCCUGCUUUUGGUAAAUCAACAAAAGCCUGCCUACCUACAAUCACAAUUUGAGUGAAAAAUCCAAAAAAAUGGGUAUCGCCCCGUCUCGUGUCUUCUCCCAGCUCCUUUUGGGGCGGCCAAAACCGAGCAGAAUAAUAAUUUCUCAUUACGUCAAUCUCCUACCUCCGCACCGCCUGCUCCUCUCAGGUGCGCACACCAAUAGUCCCAAAUAUGUAUAAUAUCAUCACCCCUCGCUCUCCAUCGCCCUCCGAUGGUCCAUUGCCACCACCUUCCGGCCCAUUCUCAUCCCCCUACCGUAAUCAACAAUAUACCCCCCCCCCCCAACCCCCAAAUCAACUCCUGUGCCAAUUCCUCCCCGACAAAAGGGGCGACCAGCAACGUCCUCCACCCUCCUCCGCUGUCACGGCUGCAAUCACAACCCCUCCCCGCUCUUACACAGGCGCAACAUCAGUCCCUCCACGCCAUACCCAUGUCACUUCCCCGCUCCGCCUAUUCACAUACUCGCACCCGUCCCCUCCCAACCCAAUAUUCAUCAAAUACCAC
This 35594-nucleotide long non-coding RNA is filed under the name Physcomitrium patens. Its description in RNAcentral is "long non-coding RNA (PPAT_LNC003595)". Lineage: Eukaryota; Viridiplantae; Streptophyta; Bryopsida; Funariales; Funariaceae. The record is from RNAcentral.